AACUUUACACUAGUAAUUCCUUUAGGGUGUGUUACCGUACAAGCAAAAACUGUUCAAAUCCAACAGAAACUGUUUAAGACCUAGGUGCGAAUAUUUGGACCCCAUUAUCUUUUGAUCGAAAAUAUCGUUCAAUGUGUUAGAUAUAUAAUUGAAAUGCAAAUGCCUCUUGUUAUAUUAUACUUUUAGAACAAAAUGUUCAUUUAAUAAUUAUUGUUUAAUAUAAUCUUUUUUCAAAGCACCUACAUAUUAUAUACAUAUGUAACUAAAUAUUAUAUUUUAUAUUCAUUAAGCAUUUUAAAAUAUUUUCAGAUUAUAUAGUAAAAUCGCAUGCGAGAUCUUUUAUUUGACACCUCAAUCGCCAAAUUGUUGCUAAUUCACAAACAACAUUUCAAGGAGAAGCAACAACUACUGUAAUGUAGUAGGCAUGUAGCGAGUGCAUAACCCCUUCUCUGUGCUGCGUAGCACAUCGCAGGGAAAGGAGAAUGAACACAAACAAUGCACACCUUCACCACAUACGACAAUCACAACAUCAUCAGCGCUGUCGUGGGGAACUCUGCACAAUUGGAAUUCUUCAAUCGCGAUCGGUCAGCGGUCAAAUUGCGCGUCGGUUCGUGUUGCGGGAAAAAUAGUAAUAAACUCUUAAGAAAUUUAUAGCAAAAGUGCUUUUUAAUUAUUUUGUUCAAUUUAAAAUCUAAGUCAGUGUUGUGCAAAUUAAAUUAAAAGUUAAAUAAAUAUAGUGACAAGUUAACUUAAGUGUGAAAAGUUGUAAGUGUUCUAGUAAAAGCAAAAAAUGUGCGUAAAGUGAAAUAGAAUAGUGUGUAUAGUUUGUAAUUCUGUUUUCUAUGAUAUGUUUAUGUUUGUUAAUGGUGUUAAUAGCAAAGUGAGAAAUCGAAUAUUGUAUAUCAUUCAUAAAUAGUGCUUUAGUGAAUUAGUGAAAUAAUUGCCAUUUAAAUAUAUUUUAUAAAAUGUGAAGUCGCUGCGUUCGUUUUUUCGGUGGUCGUCGAUCGUCGUUUUCUAAAUAACCAACAACGUUGUUCGUAUAACAAACAAACAAAUAACAUCAGUCAAGGAGAGCAAUAAUUUGUCUGCUGAAAAAGUACGAGUUCGCUUUGUUUACGUGGAACCAGGUAUCUUGGAAUCGGGUAUACGAUGAAUUACUAUGUGAUUUAUAAAAAUAAAUAUCUUGGCACUUCACUGAAUAUGCUACGUCAAACAAACUGACAAUCAAUACAGCUCUGUGCAUUGGAAACUUUCCGUCGCCACUUUUCUGUUUCAAGCAGUUCUGAAAAUAUUUCUCCACCGCGUCGGUUAAAAUCCGUGAAAAUCGUGAAAAUCUUAAAACAUAUUAGUAUAAUUUUGAAUUUUGGAGCAAAUUCAAGUGUUAGUGGUAGUAUUAAUUUGUAAUUAAGUGAAAUUAAAGUAAUUGUGACAUUUUUCACUCGGUUUUUUAGGAAUCAAAUAAAAUGCGUUCGUGUCGUCGCGGUAAAAAGUAUGUGCAAGAGGUUACCUCGCGAAAUACUCUGAAAUAGGUGUGUUAAGGAGUUGUUAACCUUUUCAUUGAGCAAUUUAUUCAUAACUCAC
Long non-coding RNA from Bactrocera neohumeralis, 1581 nucleotides. RefSeq lists it as uncharacterized. NCBI's taxonomy places the organism in Eukaryota, Metazoa, Arthropoda, Insecta, Diptera, Tephritidae. The record is from RefSeq and is a predicted model, not a curated record. The transcript has 3 exons.